This 21-nucleotide transfer RNA is filed under the name Rexea antefurcata (long-finned escolar). RNAcentral describes it as "tRNA-Leu". Lineage: Eukaryota; Metazoa; Chordata; Actinopteri; Scombriformes; Gempylidae. The record is from RNAcentral.
GUUCAAAUCCUCUCUUCAAUU